UGCUUAAACCUGCCACAGCCAUGUUGUGAUUAUGAAGGGAGCCAACCUGAGGACAAAUCACAUUUUCUGAGGAUGGCAAAGCAAACAGAUGCAAAGAUCCUGGGUCUUUGAUGGCAUUGUGGAGUUGCUGGACAGCUUCCCUACUUUUCACGUUCCUAUGACACAAUGUUAUCAUCGUCCUUGUUGUAUCAGCCAGGAGGCAGGAGUGUGUGCUUCAGUCAGUUUGAGCUCCACCCAGGGAGAACAGAUCAUGAAUACUUCUAAUGCACACGAUCUGAAAGCCGGAAGUCUGAGAUCAGAGUGACAGCAUGGUCAGCCUCUGCUGAGGACUGUCUUCAGGGUUGCAGACUGCAGACUUCUCAUUGUAUCCUCACAUGGUGGAAAGAGCAAGAUAACUUUCUGCGGUCUCCUUUAGAAGAACACUAAUUUCAUUCAUGAUGCCUCCUCUCUCAUGACCUAAUUAUCUUCCAAAGUCCCCACCUCCUAAUACCAUCACACUGGGGUAUGGAUUUCAACAUGUAACUUUUGGUGGGGAGUGGGAGAGGAGUACAAGCAUUCAGUCCAUAAUAACUACAUAAUAAAAAUAUUUAAAAAAUGAAAUUAUUAAACAGGAACACAGUACAAAUAAUAUGAUAGGACAAAGACCAAAUAUAUUUUAUAUGUUAAUAAAAGUAAAUAUUCAUUAAGAUAAUUUUCAGAAUGGAUCACAAAGCAAAUCCAACUUUGUUAUAUGUAAGAAAUACAUGUAAACAAAGAUAUUCACAAAGUUUAAGAGUUAAAUACACACCAGAGAAAUACAAAUGCAAAGAAAGCAGUGACGGAUAUCUUAAUAUCACACAACAUAGAAUUCAAGACAAAUAUCAU
RNAcentral lists this long non-coding RNA (864 nucleotides) under Homo sapiens (human). RNAcentral's name for it is "GNAO1 divergent transcript". The record is from RNAcentral. Lineage: Eukaryota; Metazoa; Chordata; Mammalia; Primates; Hominidae.